This 252-nucleotide ribosomal RNA is filed under the name uncultured prokaryote. Its description in RNAcentral is "partial 16S rRNA". It matches the Rfam family "Archaeal small subunit ribosomal RNA", at positions 475 to 726 of the family's 1478-position model. The record is from RNAcentral.
ACCGGCGGCUCGAGUGGUGGACACUAUUAAUGGGCUUAAAGCGUUCGUAGCUGGCUUGUUAAGUCUCUGGGGAAAUCUUCCGGCUUAACCCGGAAGCGGCUUAUGGAUACUGGCAGGCUAGGGAACGGAAGAGGUGAGAGGUACUCCGGGUGUAGGAGUGAAAUCCUGUAAUCCUUGGGGGACCACCUGUGGCGAAGGCGUCUCACCAGGAUGGCUCCGACGGUGAGCAGCGAGAGCUUGGGGAGCAAACCG